UUGCAUUCAUGUAUUAGGUGUGUCACUUCUUUGUUCCACCCUGUAUAAAAAGGCCACAUCUCUCUCUGCUUCUGAAGCAAAGCGUGCAAAAGCUCUACUCAUUUAGACAUAAACGGGGAGGGAAAAAGGUUAUAAAACUCUGCUACAUGGAAGUUCCUUACAGGAGAACUAGAGAUGGCGUUUCAGAGAUUUUCAGGAGAGAACUGGGAUUGUCUCAUUCUCAUUCCUUCACUCGCCGAUUCUCUGCUUCUGAGGUAGUUGUGAAGCAAAUCGAUCUUUAUGGGGAGCUAAUUGGUCAUGAGGGAAGUGUAAAUGCAGUGGAAUUCAACUCUACUGGCGAUCUUCUUGUGUCAGGUUCCGAUGACACAGACGUUAUAUUUUGGGAUUGGGCAACUAAAAGCAGAAAGUUUUCAUUUUUUUCAGGCCACUCUGGCGAGAUAUUUCAGACCCGAAUCAUGCCAUUCACCGACGAUCGGAGAAUAGUUACUUCUUCAGCUGAUGGGCAGGUUAGGCUUGUGCAGGUAUUGGAUAAUGGCCAAGUUGAUACAGCAAGGUUGGGGAAGCACCAAGGGCCUGUACACAGCCUUGCUGUGGAUCCAGGAAGUCCCCAUAUUAUUUAUAGCUGCGGUGAUGAUGGUUUCGUGCAACAUGUUGGUUAUCUUUAUGAUAUGGUGCUCCUUGGAAGUUCUUUCUUUUAUUUGCUGUAGUCUGGCAGUUGAUUUUGCCUUGUAUUUUUUCAGUUUGAUGUGCGCAGUUGGUAUGCUACAAAGCUUUUCUGUUGCUCCUCGCUCACAGAAAAUAGCAAGCGGCCUCCUAAUAGUAUAAAAUUGAAUGCCAUUGUAAUUAACCCGAGAAAUCCAAAUUACUUUGCUGUUGGAGGUUCUGAUGUAUUUGCACGUGUCUAUGACAUAAGAAAAUGCAGAUCGGAUGCACCUGUGAACACAUUCUGUCCCCGUCACCUGAUAAAGUCUAAAAAUGUGGAAAUCACGGGAUUGGCUUACUCUAACACUAGUGAAUUGCUUGUCUCUUACAGUGAUGAACUUAUUUAUUUGUUUCAGAAGAACAUGGGAAUGGAACCUUACCCAUUCUCCUUAAGCCCUCAAGAUUUGCAGAAACUUGAGGAGCCUCAAGUUUACUUAGGUCAUAGAAAUGCAAUUAAAGGGAAAGGAGUGAGUUUCUUUGGCCCUAAUGAUGAAUAUGUAUUGAGUGGGUCUGAUUGUGGCAAUAUAUUCAUUUGGAAGAAGAGAGGUGGCAAGCUUCUGCGAUUAAUGUUUGGUGACCGACAAUUUGUAUGUCAGCUUGAGCCCCAUCCACAUAUGCCUAUUUUUGCUACUGGUGGAAUCGAAAAGAGUGUGAAGCUUUGGGUUCCCAUGGCAAGUGAAGCUCCUCCACUUCCUGACAAUGUAGAAAAGAUUAUGGAGUCAAAUAGGCAGGGCAGAGAGGAACAUUCAGACGUAGCUCUUACCCCAGAAGUCAUCAUGCUUUUUCUCCUGCAAAAACGGCAAACAUUGGCAUAUAGAGAUAGAUACACUGUUGAGAGUGACGAAGAUGAAGGGGAAGCAUAAGUUCUAGGAUUUUCAGAUGCUGAUGCCUCUUCUGAAGGCAAUAUUAACACCUAACAUUCUUGUGAAAUUUUACAAUUCUACUUGCAAUAUGUGAAAAUUUGUAACCACCUUCCACUUCCAACUGAGGAGACA
This 1697-nucleotide unclassified non-coding RNA is filed under the name Hevea brasiliensis (rubber tree). The record is from RNAcentral. Lineage: Eukaryota; Viridiplantae; Streptophyta; Magnoliopsida; Malpighiales; Euphorbiaceae.